This 512-nucleotide ribosomal RNA is filed under the name uncultured bacterium. RNAcentral's name for it is "bacterial SSU rRNA". It matches the Rfam family "Bacterial small subunit ribosomal RNA", at positions 26 to 518 of the family's 1533-position model. The record is from RNAcentral.
AUGGCGUCAGGAUGAACGCUAGCGUACAAGGCUUAACACAUGCAAGUCGAGGGGCAGCAUUGGGAUAGCUGCUAUUCAGAUGGCGACCGGCGCACGGGUGAGUAACGCGUAUCCAACCUCCUGCCAGUAGGGAACAGCCCGGCGAAAGUCGGAUUAAUGCCCUAUGUUCUUCAAUGCGGACAUCUAAGUUGAAGGAAAGAUUCAUCGCUGGCAGAUGGGGAUGCGUCCGAUUAGCUUGCCGGCGGGGUAACGGCCCACCGGGGCGACGAUCGGUAGGGGUUCUGAGAGGAAGGUCCCCCACACUGGUACUGAGACACGGACCAGACUCCUACGGGAGGCAGCAGUGAGGAAUAUUGGGUCAAUGGGCGUAAGCCUGAACCAGCCAAGUAGCGUGCAAGGAUGACGGCCCUACGGGUUGUAAACUGCUUUUAUGCGGGGAUAAAGUGCGGCACGUGUGCCGCUUUGCAGGUACCGCAUGAAUAAGGACCGGCUAAUUCCGUGCCAGCCGCGGC